Molecule: ribosomal RNA, 468 nt
Filed under: uncultured bacterium
Lineage: Bacteria
Description: partial 16S ribosomal RNA
Rfam family: Bacterial small subunit ribosomal RNA
Source: RNAcentral
GACGAACGCUGGCGGCGUGCUUAACACAUGCAAGUCGAACGGACAGGCCCUGCUCUUGUGGGGUGCUCGUGUGGCGAACGGGUGAGUAACACGUGUGUAACCUGCCCUUGACUUUGGGAUAACUUUAGGAAACUGGGGCUAAUAUCGGAUAGGAGCUCCUGCUGCAUGGUGGUGGUUGGAAAGUUUCGGCGGUUGGGGAUGGACUCGCGGCUUAUCAGCUUGUUGGUGGGGUUGUUGCUUACCAAGGCUUUGACGGGUAGCCGGCCUGAGAGGGUGACCGGCCACAUUGGGACUGAGAUACGGCCCAGACUCCUACGGGAGGCAGCAGUGGGGAAUAUUGCACAAUGGGCGGAAGCCUGAGGCAGCAACGCCGCGUGCGGGAUGACGGCCUUCGGGUGGUAAACCGCUUUCGCCUGUGACGAAGCGUGAGUGACGGUAAUGGGUAAAGAAGCACCGGCUAACUACGUG